This is a long non-coding RNA of Oncorhynchus tshawytscha (Chinook salmon), 8132 nucleotides long. The record is from Ensembl. Lineage: Eukaryota; Metazoa; Chordata; Actinopteri; Salmoniformes; Salmonidae.
CAGAAAACAUUUUUCAACCAGCGAUUGAGUUGUGAGACACUGCUGUAGAGCUCAUCACUCCCCCUAACUGGAAGGGGGCCAGUGACAAUUACUCGAUACCGACACAUCUUUCUAGCUGAUUUACACGCUGAAGCUAUGUUGCGCUUGGUGACCUCUGACUGUUUCAUCCUAACAUCGUUGGUGCCGACGUGGAUAACAAUAUCUCUAUACUCUCUACACUCGCCAGUUUUAGCUUUAGCCAGCACCAUCUUCAGAUUAGCCUUAACCUCGGAAGCCCUGCCCCCUGGUAAACAGUGUAUGAUUGCUGGAUGAUUUUUUUAAAAGUCUAAUACUGCGGGUAAUGGAGUCGCCAAUGGCUAGGGUUUUCAAUUUGUCAGAGCUAAUGGUGGGAAGCUUGGGCGUCUCAGACCCCGUAACGGGAGGAGUAGAGACAAGAGAAGGCUCGGCCUCAGACUCCAACGCUGCAUAAUGGGGAAAACCGGUUGAAAGUUUCUGUCGGCUGAAUGAGCGAGAAACCAUGAGAAAGUUGUCCGGCUGCGGGGACCGUGCGAUGGGAUUUAUACUAACGUCACUAUCUGUAUUUACUGGUGGCACAGACGCUGUUUCAUCCUUUGCUACACUGACAUUACCCUUACCUAACGAUUGCGUCUGAAGCUGGGCUUGUAGCACAGCUAUCCUCGCCAUAAGGCGCUCGUUCUCCUGUAUAUUAUGAGUACAGCGACUGCAAUUAGAAGGCAUCAUGUUACCACUUAGCUUCGGUUGUUGGAGGUCCUGACGAACCAUGUCCAGUUAAAGCGUCCGAAGUGAAAAGUUGAAUGAAAAAAAGUUGAGUGAGGGAAAAGCCAAAAAUAUAAAUGGUAAUUAAAAAGUAAAAAUCGUAAAGUUGUCAGGUAGCAAAGUAAGAUUGCCAACAAAACGCACAAAACAAACAGCAACACGUAAACAAGUCUGCAAGUUGUUAAACAUUUUACUUGACCUUGUUUCAAUGUUAAUAGUAAAAUGGUAUGUUUGAAUAAAAUGUGAAGCCACAGUCCAACAAUUCCUGCCAGAACAUUGACUACUCCUGGUAUAUGAAGGCUAAUGCCUUUCAGUAAGAACAAGUCUACCAUCCAGAUGCCUACCUCAAUGUCCCUGCUUAGAUUUGGAAACAAACUGGUCGAUUCAGCUGAGCUAUCAUGCCAACACAUUUAGAUUUGCUGUGAUUUUGAGAUUUUCUCCAUUGCCAAGAUAAUCCAUUGUGGCCUUUCAAGAAGCUGAUUAAACAGCAUGAUCAUUACAUGGGUGCACCUUGUGGCAGGGACAUUAAAAGGCCAUAAUGUCACAGAUGUCCCUAAGUUUUGAGGAAGCAUACAAGUGGCAUGCUGACUGCAGGAAUGUCCACUAGAGCUGUUGCCAGAGAAUUUAAGGUUAAUUUCUCUACCACAGCCCAGGACCUCCACAUCCGGCUUCCUCACCUGCAGGAUCCUCUGAGACCAGCCACCCAGACAGCUGAUGAAACUGGGGGUUUGCACAGCUGAAAAUUUCUGCACAAAUUGUCAGAAACCGCCUCAGGGAAACUCAUCUACGUCCUCACCAGGGUCUUGACCCUACGGCAGUUUGGUGAUGUAAUCAACUUCAGUGGGCAAAUGCUCACCUUCGAUGGCCAUUGGCACGCUGGAGAAGUAUGUUCUUCACAGAGGAAUACUUGUUUCAACUGUACUGGGCAGAUGGCAGACAGUGUGUAUGGCGUCGUGUGGAUGAGCGGUUUGCUAAUGUCAAUGUAGUGAACAGAGUGCCCCAUGGUGGGGUUAUGGUAUGGGCAGGCAUAAGCUACGGACAACAAACAGUUGUAUUAUAUUAAUGUAAAUUUGAAUGCACAGAGAUACCGUGACGAGUUCCCGAGGCUCAUUGUCAUGCCAUUCAUCUGCCGCCAUCACCUCAUGUUUCAGCAUGAUAAUGCACUGCCCCAUGUCGCAAGGAUCUGUACACAAUUCCUAGAAGCUGAAAAUGUCCCAGUUCUGGGCCUCCCGGGUGACGCAGUGGUUAAGGGUGCUGUACUGCAGCGCCAGCUGUGCCACCAGAGACUCUGGGUUCGCGCCCAGGCUAUGUCGUAACCGGCCGCGACCGGGAGGUCCGUGAGGCGAUGCACAAUUGGCCUAGCGUCGUCCGGGUUAGGGAGGGUUUGGCCGGUAGGGAUAUCCUUGUCUCAUCGCGCACCAGCAACUCCUGUGGCGGGCCGGGCGCAGUGCACGCUAACCAAGGUUGCCAGGUGCACUGUGUUUCCUCCGACACAUUGGUGCGGCUGGCUUCCGGGUUGGAUGCGUGCUGUGUUAAGAAGCAGUGCGGCUUGGUUGGGUUGUGUAUCGGAGGACACAUGACUUUCAACCUUCGUCUCUCCCCAGCCCGUACGGGAGUUGUAGCGAUGAGACAAGAUAGUAGCUACUAACAAUUGGAUUCCACGAAAUUGGGGAGAAAAAGGGGUCAAAUUAAAAUAGAAUUUAAAAUUUAAAAUUUCCUAGUUCUUCCAUGGCCUGCAUACUCACCAGACAUGUCAUCCAUUGAGCUAGUUUGGGAUGCUCUGGAUCGACGUGUACGACAUUGGGUUCCAGUUCCCGCCAAUACCCAGCAACUUCGCACAGCCUUUGAAGAGGAGUGGAACAGCAUUCCACAGGCCACAAUGAACAGUCUGAUCAACUCAAUGCAAAGGAGAUGUGUUGCGCUGCAUGAGGCAAAUGGUGGUCACACCAGAUACUGACUGGUUUUCUGAUCCACAACCCUAACUUUAAAAAAAGGUAUGUCCUUCCCAGUCAUUUGGAAUCCGUAGAUCAGGGCCUAAUGAAUUUAUUUCAAUUGACUGAUUUCCUUAUGAACUGUAACCCAGUAAAAUCUUUGCAAUUGUUGCAUGUUGAAUUUAUAUUUUUGUUCAGUGUUUUUUAUAUAUAUAUAUAUUUACAUACAGUGGGGAGAACAUACAGUGGGGUACACUUCAAAUGUGAGAGACGGAAUCUAAAACAAAAAUCCAGAAAAUCACAUUGUAUGAUUUUUAAGUAAUUAAUUUGCAUUUGGUACAGAAACCUUUGUUUGCAAUUACAGAGAUCAUACGUUUCCUGUAGUUCUUGACCAGGUUUGCACACACUGCAGCAGGGAUUGGCAACGCCGUUUUGCAGAUACCCAGCUGGGGCCUGCCCGCUGACACAGGUGGUUUGCUUUGGCCUCCUGGCCCCUGCUCCCCCAUCUUCCAGUAAUCCGACCAGAUCCCAACAUCAUGCCACAGCCAACCCCAUCUCAUGUCCCGCCUGGAGAACCUCCUGGAGAGGGUACGCUGCUCCACGGCUGCAGCCCAGAACCACUGAAAAGAGAAAGAGGGCCCGUCCCUCCAGAAGGUCCCCUGGGAUGAGAUGCCAUUAUGGAGGAUGGAGAGGUCCUGGUCUACUUCCCCAAGGAGGGACUGAAGAACUUCCAGCCCCCUGCAGAGUGGACAGAGGAGGUCAGACUCACACACCAGGAGAAGCAGCAGGAGACGCAGGGAGCCAGUCCAGGAAGACUUGCAGCUCUCUCUCGGCCGGAUCCCCCCACACCCUGCCCCACCUUCGACUUCACACACACCCCCUCGCCCCAGAAGGUCCUCCACAGUCUUCAGGAUGAGAGGGCCCACAGCCAGGGGUGGGAGGAGCAGCUGCAGCGCUGGCUAGAAGUGGCUAACUCUCCAUGACUAACUGCAUGUCCCCCAACGGUACUGCUGCUGCACAGGUACAAUGUUAAGAUGGCGCUAAAGAGGAUGGCUGACAUUUUACAUUUACCUAACCAACUGUGCUAUUUUUUUAUAUAUUUUUUGCGUUGUUUGUACAUAAUGUUGCUGCUACUGUCUCUUAUGACCAAAAAUAACUUCUGGGCAUCAGAACAGCAAUUACUCACCACGCACUGGAAGAAGCUUUUUCCUUUAACGAGUCCGAUGAGAAGGAUACACUGCUUUCCCGGGAACAGGCCCAAAACCCUGUCAUUUGAGGGGGCGGCAGGUAGAGCGUUGGACCAGUAACCGAAAGGUUGCUAGAUUGAAUCCCUGAGCUGACAAGGAAGUACCAGUGACUCGCUCAAUACGGAAGUGGUCAGAUGACGCAGAUGCUAUGCUACAGGACUGUUUUGCUAGCACAGACUGGAAUAUGUUCCGGGAUUCAUCCGAUGACAUCGAGGAGUACACCACCUUAGUCAUCGGCUUCAUCAAUAAGUACAUCGACGACGUCAUCCCCACAGUGACCGUACGUUCAUAUCCCAACCAGCAGCCAUGGAUUACAGGCAACAUCCGCAUUGACCUAAAGGCUAGAGCUGCCGCUUUCAAGGAGGGAGACACUAAUCCGGACUCUUAUAAGAAAUCCUGCUAUGCCCCCAGACGAACAAUCAAACAAGCAAAGCGUCAAUACGGGACUAAGAUUGAAUCCUACUACACUGGCCCUGAUGCUCGUCCGAUGUGGCAGGGCUUGAAAACUAUUACGGACUACAAAGGGAAACCCAGAUGCGAGCUGCCCAGUGACGCGAGCCUACCUACCAGACGAACUAAAUGCCUUUUUAAGCUCGCUUCGAGGCAAGCAACACUGAAGCAUCCACGAGAGUACCAGCUGUUCUGGAUGACUAUGUAAUAACGCUCUCGGUAGCCGAUGUGAGCAAGACCUAAAGGUCAACAUUCACAAAGCCGCAGGGCCAGACGGAUUACCAGGACGUCUACUCAAAGCAUGCGUGGACCAACUGGCAGGUGUCUUCACUGACAUUUUCAACCUCUCCCUGACCAAGUCUGUAAUACCUACAUGUUUCAAGCAGACCACCAUAGUCCCUGUGCCCAAGGAAGCGUCGGUACCUACUCACGUAGGUAGGCAUUACGUGCUUUGAAAAUGCAGGGGACCAGUGGAUCACAGCUAUGGGACACAGCUUUUGCAGUACAGGCCUUUCUAGAGGCAGGGGAUCAGGACAGCUCAGUUUAGAAGAGUGCCUUAAACACGCCCACAAGUUCCUAACCAUCACACAGCCAGGUCCUGGGGAGUGUGCUUCACCUGUGGGGUUUGGUUCGGCUUGGAGGCCUUGGCCUGCAUGGGUCAUAGCUACCACAAUGGAGGGCCUGUGACUUCCUGAUGGCCCUCCAGAUGAAGGACAGGGGGCUGGGGGUGAGGACUUUGAGUCCUGUGAGCAACGUCGCUAUGUCCAGAGCGCUAACUCCCAGAGCAGGCCAACACCUGCUUGGCCUCAUGGCUGCCAGGAGAGCAUCUCGAGUAUGUUCAAUAAGAGCUGUGCCAUCAGCUACACCUCCUACAGGAACGUAUUCAGAGUGUGGACGCUGUGCCGCCUUCUCCAACCUUUACCUUUACCCCUCCAGCCCUCUGGCUGUGAAGGUCAAGCUGUGAGGUCAGGAGUCAGCAGGUGUGCUCAGUGUCAUUUCUGAAAUCUUUACAUUGAGAACAGUGGGAUGUUAAUGAAAGGUGCUGAAACAGGAGUCCUGAAAUGACCUCAACCCUGGGAUUACUUUACCAUGCAUGCUAUUUAACAUUCUUUUGCCUUAUGUUUUUGGUGGGACUGAACUCGUUGAAACAACCUUUUAGCUGAGAAAUAGUGUCAUUUUGGCUCCUGUAUUAUGACAUUAAAUCAUACCCUUUCAUCAGUCUGUAAAUAGUGCUGAAAUAGAAAAAUGUCCAUGUUCCCUAUUAAUAUUAACCUUAGUUUCUGAAAAUAUAUUGAUCAGUGGCAAUAUGUGCCGUUUAAGAUGAGGGAGGACUGUUUUUUUUCAUGAGCAUGGCCAUGUUUCUAUUACAGUAUAUUGGAUGACUCUCAUUCAUAUUCCAGUCACCCAGUUCAAUGUAACAGCGAUAGGUUUAGGCUACUACACGAUACUCAAAUGUUCCCUAUUGUAACAAAGUGCGCCGAGAGUCGGGAAACAAGUUCAGGGAGUGAGUGUUAUUAAUGGAAAAAAACGCAACAUAAUUCAAAACAAACACGAACAACGCACAGACAAGGUAAUCAAGGAGGUGAUGGAGUCCAGGUUCGUGUCAUAUUGCGCUAAUGCGCGUAACGAUGGUGACAGGUGUGCGCCUUAACGAGCCGCCUGGUGACCUAGAGGCCGGAGAAGGAGCACACGUGACGGUACCCCCUUCCCGACGCGUGGCUCCAGCCGCAGGACGCCAACCAAGAUGACGAUCCCGGGGAUCAGGAGCGGACCGGUCACCUCUGCUAAGCACAGGAGCAUGGCAACCUAGAGCGCCGGAGAGAGAGCAUACCUGACGGUACCCCCUCCCCAGCGCGUUCGGCUCCAGCCGCAGGACUCCAACCACAGAGUGUCAUAUUGCGCUAAUGCGCGUAACGAUGGUGACAGGUGUGCACCUUAACGAGCAGCCUGGUGACCUAGAGGCUGGAGAGGGUGCACACGUGACACCUAUACCCUUCACGAGGAUGCUACAACCUAGCCUUUGAAUGAAAGUUUACAUCGUAGGUGCACUCAGGUCGAGAGACAAAUUUGAGGUGACAGACCAUGACAUUCAAUACGCCUUGCACACUCUUGCCUGCAUCUAGCUGAUAUACAGUACCACUAAAAAAAAAUCUGCAUUGUAGAAUAAUAGUGAAGACCUCAAAACUAUGAAAUAACACAUAUGGAGUCAUGUAGUAACCAAAAAAGUGUUAAACAAAUCUAAAUAUAUUUGUAAAAUAUUUUGCCCUGAUGCCAGCUUUGAACACUCUUGGCAUUCUCUCACCCUGCUUCACCUGGAAUGCUUUCCCAAUGGUCUUGAAGGAGUUCCCACAUAUGCUGAGCACUUGUUGGCUACUUUUCCUUCACUCUGCGGUCCAACUCAUCCCAAACCAUCUCAAUUGGAUGAGGUCAGGUGAUUUUGGAGGCCAGGUCUGAUGCAGCACUCCAUCACUCUCCUUCUUGGUCAAAUAGCCCUUACACAGCCUGGAGGUGUGUUGGGUCAAUGUCCUGUUGAAAUACAGAUGGGAUGGUGUAUCGCUGCAGAACACUGUGGUAGCCAUGCUAGUUAAGUGUGCCUUGAAUUCUAAAUAUAUCACAGACAGUGUCACCAACCAUGCACCAUCACACCUCCUCCUCCAUGCUUCACGGUGGGAACCACACAUGCAUAGAUCAUCUGUUCACCUACUCUGCGUCUCACAAAGACAUGGCGGUUGAAAACAAAAAUCUUAAAUUUGGACUCAUUAGAUCAAAGGACAGAUUUCCACCAGUCUAAUGUCCAUUGCUCGUGUCUCUUGGCCCAAGCAAGUCUCUUCUUAUUGGUGUCCUUUAAUAGUGGUUUCUUUGCAGCAAUUUGAUCAGGAAGCCCUGAUUCAUGCAGUCUCCUCUGAACAGUUGAUGUUGAGAUGUCUCUCUGAAGCAUUGAUUUGGGCUGUAAUUUCUGUGGCUGGUAACUUUAUUGAACUUAUCCUCUGCAUCAGAGGUACCUCUGGGUCUUCCUUUCCUUUGGUAGUCCUCAUGAGAGCCAGUUUCAUCAUAGCGCUUGAUGGUUUUUGCGAAUGCACUUGAAAAAACUUUCAACGUUCAUGAAAUGUUCCGGAUUGACUUACCUUCAUGUCUUAAAGUAAUGAUGGACUGUCGUUUCUCUUUGCGUAUUUGAGCUGUUCUUGCAAUAAUAUAAACUUGGUCUUUUACCAAAUAGGGCUAUCUUCUGGAUAACACCCCUACCUUGUCACAACACAACUGAUUACCUCAAACGCAUUAAGAAGGAAAUGAACUUUUAACCAGGCACACCUGUUAAUUGAAAUGCAUUCCAGGUUGGAAAAGCAUUCCUCAUGAAGCUGGUUGAGAGAAUGCCAAGAGUUUUCAAAGCUGUCAUCAAGGCAAAGGGUGGCUACUUUCAAGAAUCUAAAAUAUUAUCAGUUUUUUUAACACUUGUUUGGUUACUACAUGAUUCCAUAUGUGUUUUUUCAUAGUUUUGAUGUCUUCACUAUUAUUCAACAAUGUAGAAAAUAAUAAAAAUAAAGAAAAACCCUUGAAUGAGUCGGUGUGUCCAGACUUUUGUCUGGUACUGUAGGGUGUAAUCAUGAGUCCAAGAGUUUAUUUUGGACAAAUUCAGGAAUGUUUAUCCCCAUUUUGGCUAAGUAAGUGAAACUGAAAUUUAACAAAAAUGACUCUCUCGCUUCUCCUUCAUUUUGGAAUAAAUUCAUUU